CUGAUCUAGCCAUGCCGCGUGAGUGAUGAAGGCCUUAGGGUYGUAAAGCUCUUUCGCCUGUGAAGAUAAUGACUGURNCHGGUAAAGAAACCCCGGCUAACUCCGUGCCAWCAGCCGCGGUAAUACGGAGGGGGUUAGCGUUGUUCGGAAUUACUGGGCGUAAAGCGCRCGUAGGCGGACAUUUAAGUCAGAGGUGAAAUCCCAGGGCUCAACCCUGGAACUGCCUUUKAUACUGRGWGUCUUGAGUUCGAGAGAGGUGAGUGGAAUUCCGAGUGUAUAGGUGAAAUUCGUAGAUAUUCGGAGGAACACCAGUGGCGAAGGCGGCUCACUGGCUCGAUACUGACGCUGAGGUGCGAAAGUGUGGGGAGCAAACAGGAUUAGAUACCCUGGUAGUCCACACCGUAAACYAUGAAUGCCAKNCGUCGGGCAGKAUACUGUUCGGUGACACACCUAACGGAUUAAGCAUUCCGCCUGGGGAGUACGGUCGCAMGAUUA
This 495-nucleotide ribosomal RNA is filed under the name uncultured marine alpha proteobacterium BY-2. Its description in RNAcentral is "partial 16S ribosomal RNA". It matches the Rfam family "Bacterial small subunit ribosomal RNA", at positions 383 to 896 of the family's 1533-position model. The record is from RNAcentral. Lineage: Bacteria; Pseudomonadati; Pseudomonadota; Alphaproteobacteria; Rhodobacterales; Paracoccaceae.